This 253-nucleotide ribosomal RNA is filed under the name uncultured bacterium. RNAcentral describes it as "partial 16S ribosomal RNA". It matches the Rfam family "Bacterial small subunit ribosomal RNA", at positions 524 to 776 of the family's 1533-position model. The record is from RNAcentral.
UACGUAGGGUGCAAGCGUUGUCCGGAAUUAUUGGGCGUAAAGAGCUCGUAGGCGGUCUGUUGCGUCGGCUGUGAAAACCCGGGGCUCAACCCCGGGCCUGCAGCCGAUACUGUCGGACUAGAGUCCGGAAGAGGCAAGUGGAAUUCCCGGUGUAGCGGUGAAAUGCGCAGAUAUCAGGAAGAACACCGGUGGCGAAGGCGGAUCUCUGGGCCAUUACUGACGCUGAGGAGCGAAAGCGUGGGGAGCGAACAGG